Molecule: long non-coding RNA, 1661 nt
Organism: Caretta caretta (loggerhead turtle)
Lineage: Eukaryota; Metazoa; Chordata; Testudines; Cheloniidae
Source: RefSeq, a predicted model, not a curated record
GGGGGCAUACAUGUAGAACGCAUGCAUAAAAUCAGGGCCAGGUUUCCCCCAGGUGCUGGAAAUGCAGCCACGUCUUUCGGUGCCUAACAGGAGCUGGGCUCUGGGCAAUAUCUGGCCCAGGCUGUAGGCCCGUGCACAACAGAUGCACCAUGUUGCCAGCUCCUGCAGUUCUUUUCACCGGGGACGUGUGAUUUUCGUUGGCGGGUGCAGCCAGGCUGCUGAGGAUGUGGGAGGCUCCAGCCCUCUCGUGAAUUUGAGCCCUUGGACUGGCUGCCUGUCUCCAGGGACCGCUGCAGGGUGGAGGCAAUUCUCUCCCUGGCACCCCCCAGCAACCAAAGCAGGGCAACUCUUGUGUUCUCCUGCCACCCUCCCGGCAGCAGCUGUCUGGGAAGGGACAGGCCUGGGUGGGGAGCAGCCCCUGGAGCUUCCCCUCCCAGCCUGGGGACCCUGCUGCAGCCCCACUUCCCCUCUGGGUAGGGGUGAAGAACCCCAGGAGAAGCAGAGGCAGAGUGUUUUGCUUCCCCACCAUUGCACAUGGCAAGAUUUCUAUGCGCUCUGCUGGCAGGUGUGAGUCCUCCAGUUUUCAUCCAGACCACACCCCACACGAUCCAUUGUCUACAGCCAAGCUCUACGAUACAACCGCAUUUGCUCCAACCCCUCAGACAGAGACAAACACCUACAAGAUCUCUAUCAAGCAUUCUUACAACUACAAUACCCACCUGCUGAAGUGAAGAAACAGAUUGACAGAACCAGAAGAGUACCCAGAAGUCACCUACUCCAGGACAGGCCCAACAAAGAUAAUAACAGAACACCACUAGCCAUCACCUUCAGCCCCCAACUAAAACCCCUCCAACGCAUCGUCAAGGAUCUACAACCUAUCCUGAAGGACGACCCAUCACUCUCACAGAUCUUGGGAGACAGGCCAGUCCUUGCUUACAGACAGCCCCCCAACCCGAAGCAAAUACUCACCAGCAACCACACAACAAAAACACUAACCCAGGAACCUAUCCUUGCAACAAAGCCCGUUGCCAGCUGUGUCCACAUAUCUAUUCAAGGGACACCAUCAUAGGGCCUAAUCACAUCAGCCACCCUAUCAGAGGCUCGUUCACCUGCGCAUCUACCAAUGUGAUAUAUGCCAUCAUGUGCCAGCAAUGCCCCUCUGCCAUGUACAUUGGCCAAACUGUACAGUCUCUACGUAAAAGAAUAAAUGGACACAAAUCAAACGUCAGGAAUUAUAAUGUUCAAAACCCAGUCGGAGAACACUUCAAUCUCUGGUCACUCAGUUACAGACCUAAAAGUUGCAAUUCUUCAACAAAAAAUCUUCAAAAACAGAAAAAAUUCAUUUACAAACUGGACACCAUUAAAUUAGGCUUGAAUAAAGACUGGGAGUGGAUGGGUCAUUACACAAAGUAAAACUAUUUCCCCAUGUUUAUUUUCCCCCGCUACUGUUCCUUACAUGUUCUUGUCAACUGCUGGAAAUUGCCCACCUUGAUUAUCACUACAAAAGGUUUUUUUUCUCUCCUGCUGGUAAUAGCUCACCUUACCUGAUCACUCUCAUUACAGUGUGUAUGGUAACAUCCAUUGUUUCAUGUUCUCUGUGUAUAUAAAUCUCCCCACUGUAUUUUCCACUGAAUGCAUCCGAUGAAGUGAGCUGUAGCUCA